AUAGCUCACUAGUCGAGAGGUCCUGCGCCGAAAAUGUCCGGGGCUGAAACACACUACCGAAGCUUGGGAAUUGACGAAUGUUAAUUGGUAGAGGAGCAUUCUUAACGGGGCGAAGCUGUACCGGAAGGAGCAGUGGACUGUUAAGAAGAGAGAAUGCCGGAAUGAGUAGCGAGAGGAAGGUGAGAAUCCUUCCGGCCGAAUAUCUAAGGUUUCCAGAGUAAAGCUGAUCUGCUCUGGGUAAGUCGGGGCCUAAGGCGAGGCUGAGAGGCGUAGUCGAUGGACAACAGGUUGAAAUUCCUGUACCAUGUAUCAUCAGAACUGUGGGGACACAGAAGGACAACACAUCCCGGGAAUGGGAAUACCGGGGCAAGCGAGGUAGGAGUACGGUUGGCAAAUCCGCCGUGCAAUCCGAAGACGUGAUGCGCAGCGAACUAAAGUAGCGAAGUGUGUGAUUCCGGCUGUCAAGAAAAGCCGCUAUUGUGUGAUACAUGCCCGUACCGUAAACCGACACAGGUAGAUGAGGAGAGAAUCCUAAGGCCGGCGGGAGAAGCAUUGUUAAGGAACUCGGCAAAAUGACCCCGUAACUUCGGGAGAAGGGGUGCCACAGAGAUGUGGCCGCAGAGAAUAGGCUCAAGCAACUGUUUAGCAAAAACACAGGUCUAUGCGAAACCGAAAGGUGAGGUAUAUGGGCUGACGCCUGCCCGGUGCUGGAAGGUUAAGAGGAGAGGUUAGAGCAAUCGAAGCUUUGAAUUUAAGCCCCAGUAAACGGCGGCCGUAACUAUAACGGUCCUAAGGUAGCGAAAUUCCUUGUCGGGUAAGUUCCGACCCGCACGAAAGGCGUAAUGAUUUGAGCGCUGUCUCAACAAUGCACCCGGUGAAAUUGAAAUACCAGUGAAGAUGCUGGUUACCUGCGCCAGGACGGAAAGACCCCAUGGAGCUUUACUCCAGCUUGAUACUGGGAUUCGAUAUUGCAUGUACAGGAUAGGUGGGAGACUUUGAACUGAUGACGCCAGUUGUCAGGGAGUCACUGUUGGGAUACCACCCUUGUAGUAUUGGAUUUCUAACCAGCAGCCGUGAACCGGCUGGGGGACAAUGUCAGGUGGGGAGUUUGACUGGGGCGGUCGCCUCCGAAAGGGUAUCGGAGGCGCUCAAAGGUUCCCUCAGAAUGGUUGGAAACCAUUCGAAGAGUGCAAAGGCAGAAGGGAGCUUGACUGCGACACCGACGGGUGGAGCAGGUACGAAAGUAGGACUUAGUGAUCCGGUGGUAUAAAGUGGGAUUGCCAUCGCUCAACGGAUAAAAGCUACCCUGGGGAUAACAGGCUUAUCACUCCCAAGAGUUCACAUCGACGGAGUGGUUUGGCACCUCGAUGUCGGCUCAUCGCAUCCUGGGGCUGUAGCAGGUCCCAAGGGUUGGGCUGUUCGCCCAUUAAAGCGGUACGCGAGCUGGGUUCAG
Molecule: ribosomal RNA, 1453 nt
Filed under: human gut metagenome
Description: bacterial LSU rRNA
Rfam family: Bacterial large subunit ribosomal RNA
Source: RNAcentral